Long non-coding RNA from Etheostoma spectabile (orangethroat darter), 288 nucleotides. RefSeq lists it as uncharacterized. The transcript is spliced from 3 exons. The record is from RefSeq and is a predicted model, not a curated record. Lineage: Eukaryota; Metazoa; Chordata; Actinopteri; Perciformes; Percidae.
CAUUUAUAUAGACAGUCUAUUCAUGUAUAUUGUGUUAUUACCAUAUCACUUUCACAUAUCCUUCGUCUUACUUACACCUCACUUUGCACCGGCUUUGUAAUGCCUAGUUAAUCUGCACUUUAUGUAGCCUUUUGUAUUCUGUAUUCCUGUAUUGUACUGAAUGUGAAACGUUAUGUUGUCCUGCAUGCUUAUGCUUUUCUUGGCCAGGUUGUCUUUGCAAAUAAGAACCUGUUCUUAAUGGCCUACCUGGUUCAAUAAAGGUUGAACAAAAUAAAAAAUAAAAAAUAA